This 253-nucleotide ribosomal RNA is filed under the name uncultured bacterium. RNAcentral describes it as "partial 16S ribosomal RNA". It matches the Rfam family "Bacterial small subunit ribosomal RNA", at positions 524 to 776 of the family's 1533-position model. The record is from RNAcentral.
UACGUAGGGUGCGAGCGUUAAUCGGAAUUACUGGGCGUAAAGCGUGCGCAGGCGGUUUUGUAAGCCAGAUGUGAAAGCCCCGGGCUCAACCUGGGAAUGGCAUUUGGGACUGCAAGGCUUGAGUGCGGCAGAGGAGACUGGAAUUCCUGGUGUAGCAGUGAAAUGCGUAGAUAUCAGGAGGAAUACCGAUGGCGAAGGCAGGUCUCUGGGCUGACACUGACGCUCAUGCACGAACGCGUGGGGAGCAAACAGG